AACGCACCUUGCGCCCCUUGGCAUUCCGAGGGGCACACCCGUUUGAGUGUCGUGACAUUCUCAAAACCCUCUUCCUUUGCCGGAAAGGGUUUUGGACUUGGAGGCCUUUGCUGGUUUCACCUCGAAGCGAGCUCCUCCUAAAUGGAUCAGUAGGGUCUGCUUUGCCGACCCUUGACGUGAUAAGCUUCUUCUACGUCUCGGGUUUCGGCGCUGUGCCUCUGCUUCUAACCGUCUCAUUGACAACGAUGGUGUUCCGGUCACCGCCGAUUCGUCGGUGGGAGGCUUGACCCACAAAACGACCUUGACCUCAAAUCGGGUGAGACUACCCGCUGAACUUAA
Molecule: ribosomal RNA, 339 nt
Filed under: uncultured Russula
Lineage: Eukaryota; Fungi; Basidiomycota; Agaricomycetes; Russulales; Russulaceae
Description: eukaryotic LSU rRNA
Source: RNAcentral